Molecule: ribosomal RNA, 440 nt
Filed under: uncultured bacterium
Lineage: Bacteria
Description: partial 16S ribosomal RNA
Rfam family: Bacterial small subunit ribosomal RNA
Source: RNAcentral
CCUACGGGAGACUGCAGUGGGGAAUAUUGCACAAUGGGGGAAACCCUGAUGCAGCGACGCCGCGUGAGUGAGGAAGUAUUUCGGUAUGUAAAGCUCUAUCAGCAGGGAAGAAAAUGACGGUACCUGACUAAGAAGCCCCGGCUAACUACGUGCCAGCAGCCGCGGUAAUACGUAGGGGGCAAGCGUUAUCCGGAUUUACUGGGUGUAAAGGGAGCGUAGACGGCAACUCAAGUCAGAAGUGAAAACCCAGGGCUCAACUUUGGGACUGCUUUUGAAACUGAGUAGCUGGAGUGCAGGAGAGGUAAGCGGAAUUCCUAGUGUAGCGGUGAAAUGCGUAGAUAUUAGGAGGAACACCAGUGGCGAAGGCGGCUUACUGGACUGUAACUGACGUUGAGGCUCGAAAGCGUGGGGAGCAAACAGGAUUAGAUACCCGAGUAGUC